GGAGAGAGAGGGAUUCGAACCCUCGGUACGAAUAGCUCAUACAAUGGAUUAGCAAUCCACCGCUUUGGUCCGCUCAGCCAUCUCUCC
RNAcentral lists this transfer RNA (87 nucleotides) under Cycas lindstromii. RNAcentral's name for it is "tRNA-Ser". Lineage: Eukaryota; Viridiplantae; Streptophyta; Cycadopsida; Cycadales; Cycadaceae. The record is from RNAcentral.